Molecule: long non-coding RNA, 852 nt
Organism: Panicum virgatum (switchgrass)
Lineage: Eukaryota; Viridiplantae; Streptophyta; Magnoliopsida; Poales; Poaceae
Exons: 3
Source: RefSeq, a predicted model, not a curated record
GGUGUGAUAGCAGGGCCGGGAGCGCUGGGGGCAACAGUCCCCGCCGUCCUGAUGCCAUUCGCCAUCGCCGCCGACAAGAGCACGACGCAGGCGAGCACGGCCAGCCUGCACCCCAUUGCCGCUGCUGCUUCUGCUCUUCAGCGAUCGAGGUCCAAAGGACGGAGAUGCAAAGGUUCUUGGGAGAUGGGAGCAAGCAAUGCAAGCAGACGAGUAGGAGUGACAAGUGGUGAAGGGAGAGAGCUGGUGUGUGUGACGAUCCUAGCAACCCUCAGCACAUGAUCUUUAUAUAUAUAUGUGUGGGAGAGGCACAUUGCCGCUGUCGAGCGGCUUUGGCUCCUUUGUUUCCCCCCUCCUUUGUUGGUUGGCUCAAAAAAAGUACAAAUCAGGAACACCCCAGGUCUAGUCGUGAUCAGCCUGCGAGACUGAUGAUCGAGCUGGGCCUGGGCGCCGCCCGAGGAAGGAGAAGGAAGACAGGGAAGUUCCAAAAGAGCAGUCAGUACUACUGCGUGCCUUGCCAGCAAGGGCACGCGAUCUAGCACCAUCCAGAGGGAGUUUUGUCUCUCUGCCUGCAGGGGCCUACGCUGCCUGAGCGAACUGAUUAGCAUGCCGAGGGGUCAGUUGAUGGCUGCAUGCGUACGGUCCCUGCGGCGUGGCGCCAAUGAUUUCGCUGCAUAUGACGGUUGUUCUGUUGUCGGAUGAUGCCAACAACGGGUAAAGUGUCAAAUCAAGUUUACACAAAAAUACGAAUGCCCGCAUGGAGUACUAAAUGAAGUCUAUUUGCAAAACCUUUUCAGAGACGGAUGUAACUUUUCGAGAUGAAUCUAAUGGCGGUAAUUAAUUGAUGAUUUGAUA